AGAUGUGAGGGAAAUGUGGCUGAAACAUCUGUCACCCCAUUGAUCGACAGGAUUGAUUCAGCUGAUCUGGCUGCUGGGCGGGUGUCCUCCCUUACCGCUCCAUGUGUGUCCCUCCCAAAGCUGCGUGCUCAAAGAGGACAACCUUCCCAAUAGAGGAGGACUGUUCUUUGGUCAAGGGUAUACGAAUAGCUGUGCUUCCCUGCUAGAGCCUUCAAACAAGCUCUCAAGGUCCAUUUGCAGGAGAAUGUAGGGUAGUCAAGCUUCCAAGACUCCAGACACAUCCAAAUGAGGCGCUGCAUGUGGUAGUCUGCCUUUCUUU
This 319-nucleotide small nuclear RNA is filed under the name Ailuropoda melanoleuca (giant panda). Its description in RNAcentral is "7SK RNA". It matches the Rfam family "7SK RNA". Rfam says of the family: 7SK was discovered as an abundant small nuclear RNA in the mid-70s but a possible function has only recently been suggested. Two independent studies have found that 7SK RNA binds the CDK9/cyclin T complex (known as elongation factor P-TEFb). Lineage: Eukaryota; Metazoa; Chordata; Mammalia; Carnivora; Ursidae. The record is from Rfam by way of RNAcentral.